Salmo salar (Atlantic salmon) is the source of this 334-nucleotide non-coding RNA. Lineage: Eukaryota; Metazoa; Chordata; Actinopteri; Salmoniformes; Salmonidae. The record is from RefSeq and is a predicted model, not a curated record.
GUGAGUUAUUUGAUUACGCAACCCCAUUGAGAAUGGCCUUCAUUCUGUUAUGCUGUCUGGGAGCCGUCACUGUGAUUGGGUUAGCUCUGGCUAUCUACUGCAUAUGCAAUCAGAAAGAUUACCACAAGAAGGAGAAGGAUGAAAUCAUGGAGGAGAAGGAUGUCCUCAGGAAGGAGAAAGGUAAGUAGUGUCUUCAGUUCAUCACUUUUAUAACAUUAUAACCAAUGUCUCUUCUAUAGAUGUAACUUCUAGUGAAGUAGGAACCACAUAAUGUUGUGCUAUUAAUGUUUCCUGACUUUUAUCUGCUGUUGGAACAUUGAUAUGAGACAAGGAG